RNAcentral lists this ribosomal RNA (440 nucleotides) under uncultured bacterium. RNAcentral's name for it is "partial 16S ribosomal RNA". It matches the Rfam family "Bacterial small subunit ribosomal RNA", at positions 338 to 795 of the family's 1533-position model. The record is from RNAcentral.
CCUACGGGUGGCAGCAGUGGGGGAUAUUGCACAAUGGGGGAAACCCUGAUGCAGCGACGCCGCGUGGAGGAAGAAGGUCUUCGGAUUGUAAACUCCUGUCCGAGGGGACGAUAAUGACGGUACCCUUGGAGGAAGCACCGGCUAACUACGUGCCAGCAGCCGCGGUAAAACGUAGGGUGCAAGCGUUGUCCGGAAUUACUGGGUGUAAAGGGAGCGCAGGCGGACUGUCAAGUUGGGAGUGAAAACUACGGGCUCAACCCGUAACUUGCUUUCAAAACUGGCGGUCUUGAGUGGUGUAGAGGUAGGCGGAAUUCCCGGUGUAGCGGUGGAAUGCGUAGAUAUCGGGAGGAACACCAGUGGCGAAGGCGGCCUACUGGGCACUAACUGACGCUGAGGCUCGAAAGCAUGGGUAGCAAACAGGAUUAGAUACCCGAGUAGUC